Molecule: transfer RNA, 69 nt
Filed under: Diplogale hosei (Hose's palm civet)
Lineage: Eukaryota; Metazoa; Chordata; Mammalia; Carnivora; Viverridae
Description: tRNA-His
Rfam family: tRNA
About the family: Transfer RNA (tRNA) molecules are approximately 80 nucleotides in length. Their secondary structure includes four short double-helical elements and three loops (D, anti-codon, and T loops).
Source: RNAcentral
GUAAAUAUAGUUUAACAAAAACAUUAGAUUGUGAAUCUAAUAAUAGAAGUUUAAACCUUCUUAUUUACC